UACGAACUGUGCGAACGUUAUUCGGAAUCACUGGGCUUAAAGGGUGCGUAGGCGGUUCUCUAAGUCAGGUGUGAAAUCUCUCGGCUCAACCGGGAAACUGCGCCUGAUACUGGAGGACUGGAGUGAGGCAGGGGUGUGUGGAACUUCCGGUGGAGCGGUGAAAUGUGUAGAUAUCGGAAGGAACGCCAGCAGCGAAAGCGGCACACUGGGCCUUUUCUGACGCUGAGGCACGAAAGCCAGGGGAGCGAAC
RNAcentral lists this ribosomal RNA (250 nucleotides) under uncultured Planctomycetia bacterium. RNAcentral's name for it is "partial 16S ribosomal RNA". It matches the Rfam family "Bacterial small subunit ribosomal RNA", at positions 524 to 773 of the family's 1533-position model. Lineage: Bacteria; Pseudomonadati; Planctomycetota; Planctomycetia. The record is from RNAcentral.